This 524-nucleotide ribosomal RNA is filed under the name uncultured bacterium. RNAcentral describes it as "partial 16S ribosomal RNA". It matches the Rfam family "Bacterial small subunit ribosomal RNA", at positions 28 to 523 of the family's 1533-position model. The record is from RNAcentral.
GACGAACGCUGGCGGCGUGCCUAAUACAUGCAAGUCGAGCGCAGGGAAUCAUCCGAACCCUUCGGGGGGACGUUGAUGGAAUGAGCGGCGGACGGGUGAGUAACACGUAAAGAACCUGCCCUCAGGUCUGGGAUCACCACGAGAAAUCGGGGCUAAUACCGGAUGGGUCAUCGGACCGCAUGGUCCGAGGAUGAAAGGCGCUUCGGCGUCGCCGGGGGAUAGCUUUGCGGUACAUAAGCUAGUUGGUGGGGUAAUGGCCCACCAAGGCGACGAUGCAUAGCCGAACUGAGAGGGUGAUCGGCCACACUGGGACUGAGACACGGCCCAGACUCCUACGGGAGGCAGCAGUAGGGAAUCUUCCACAAUGGACGAAGGUCUGAUGGAGCAACGCCGCGUGAACGAUGAAGGCCUUCGGGUCGUAAAGUUCUGUUGUAAGGGAAGAACAAGUGCCGCAGGCAAUGGCGGCACCUUGACGGUACCUUGCGAGAAAGCCACGGCUAACUACGUGCCAGCCGCCGCGGUAA